This 444-nucleotide ribosomal RNA is filed under the name uncultured organism. Its description in RNAcentral is "partial 16S ribosomal RNA". It matches the Rfam family "Bacterial small subunit ribosomal RNA", at positions 335 to 796 of the family's 1533-position model. The record is from RNAcentral.
ACUCCUACGGGAGGCAGCAGUGGGGAAUAUUGGACAAUGGGCGCAAGCCUGAUCCAGCCAUGCCGCGUGAGUGAUGAAGGCCCUAGGGUUGUAAAGCUCUUUCACCGGAGAAGAUAAUGACGGUAUCCGGAGAAGAAGCCCCGGCUAACUUCGUGCCAGCAGCCGCGGUAAUACGAAGGGGGCUAGCGUUGUUCGGAAUUACUGGGCGUAAAGCGCACGUAGGCGGAUCGAUCAGUCAGGGGUGAAAUCCCAGGGCUCAACCCUGGAACUGCCUUUGAUACUGUCGAUCUGGAGUAUGGAAGAGGUGAGUGGAAUUCCGAGUGUAGAGGUGAAAUUCGUAGAUAUUCGGAGGAACACCAGUGGCGAAGGCGGCUCACUGGUCCAUUACUGACGCUGAGGUGCGAAAGCGUGGGGAGCAAACAGGAUUAGAAACCCCUGUAGUCC